This 669-nucleotide ribosomal RNA is filed under the name uncultured bacterium. RNAcentral describes it as "bacterial SSU rRNA". It matches the Rfam family "Bacterial small subunit ribosomal RNA", at positions 582 to 1248 of the family's 1533-position model. The record is from RNAcentral.
AAUAAGUCGGGUGUGAAAGCCCACAGCUUAACUGUGGAACUACAUCCGAAACUGUUAAGCUAGAGUUCGGAAGAGGCAGGUGGAACUGGUGGUGUAGGGGUAAAAUCCGUAGAGAUCACCAAGAAUACCCAUUGCGAAGGCGACCUGCUGGGACGAUACUGACGCUGAGGCGCGAAAGCGUGGGGAGCAAACAGGAUUAGAUACCCUGGUAGUCCACGCCCUAAACGAUGGAUGCUAGUUGUUGGAGUGCUAGUCACUUCAGUAAUGCAGCUAACGCAUUAAGCAUCCCGCCUGGGGAGUACGGCCGCAAGGCUAAAACUCAAAGGAAUAGACGGGGACCCGCACAAGCGGUGGAGCAUGUGGUUUAAUUCGAAGAUACGCGAAGAACCUUACCUGGGCUUGACAUCCCAAGAACCCUCUAGAGAUAGAGGGGUGCCCCUUCGGGGGAGCUUGGUGACAGGUGCUGCACGGCUGUCGUCAGCUCGUGUCGUGAGAUGUUGGGUUAAGUCCCGCAACGAGCGCAACCCUCGUCCUUAGUUGCUAACAGUUCGGCUGAGCACUCUAAGGAGACUGCCCGGGUAACCGGGAGGAAGGUGAGGAUGACGUCAAGUCAUCAUGGCCCUUAUGUCCAGGGCGACACACGUGCUACAAUGGCGCGCACAAAGAGAC